AAUCUCAAAAUAAAAUAAUCAUCUCAUCCAAUAGCGAUGCUAAUCAGAUCCCGGCAACAAACCUCAGGAUGAAUCAAAUCAAAGAUUCCCCAAAUGAUCAGUCAACAUACAUAAAUUUCAACAACUUACCUUAUUUUUGACAACGCUCGAGGACGAACGCUUUUAAGAGGGAAGUUUAAGCUUUUAGAUUAAGAACAUUGUAAAAAUCAGUUUUUAAAUAAAGUUAUAACGAGAAGGUCGUGCUGACCGAAAAACGAUUUUUUUUCCUUCAAUAAGCAGGAAAAUCGUUAAGUUAUACUUACAUACAAAUAUGUUGAUUUCGCAAUUGCCCAUAUGCGAUGUUUGUAUGUAUCUACAUAAGUUUAAAGAAAUCAAAGUCAAGGUUAUUGUUUUCAGAAUAUACUUACAUAGAAAUAUGUUGAUUUCGCAAUUGCCCAUAUGCGAUGUCUGUAUGUAUCUACAUAAGUUUAAACAAAUCAAAGUCAAGGUUAUUGUUUUCAGAAUAUACUUAUAUGCAAAUUUUAUUGAGUUAUUAUUAUUUAAAAUUAACAAUUUAAAGAUUUAUUAACAAUUUGUUUUUAUAAAAUGGUGAAAAAAAUGUUAAAAAAAUUAUAAUGCAGAAUUACGAAAUUGUCCAUUUCAAAUGGAAAUUUCUCACACGACUUAAUAUAUAAAAAAAGUUAUUGAAUUUUACUUGCAUUUUUAAACACAAAUGUUGCACUUAAACAAGAUGGAAACAACAUUUGUGUUUAAAAAAGCUAAGCUCAGUUGCAAAGCUAUUAAAGGAGAAAAAUAAGAAGAAGAAAAAAG
Molecule: long non-coding RNA, 810 nt
Organism: Bactrocera neohumeralis
Lineage: Eukaryota; Metazoa; Arthropoda; Insecta; Diptera; Tephritidae
Exons: 2
Source: RefSeq, a predicted model, not a curated record